AACGCCAGAAGGGAAUGGAAAGACUGGUGCGCCGUCGCGUUAGGGCUCCGCGUCCCUUUUCCCCAAACACCCCAACUCCUCACUCCACCUCCCCCCUCGCCAUCUCGGGAAGUCACGCAGAGGCUUGGCGGUCACGCCUCAUUCCUCCCAGGCAGCCAAGUGCUGUGUUCGUGGAGGUUAAUGUUGGGGUGCACGUUGUACGGAUGGGGGAAUGGGCUCAGGGGACGCAAGCGGCGAAUCGAGGAUCCCGCAGCUUGUAAGUGGCCGUAGCGGGAUCUGUCUGCGCCCCCGCACUGCAGUCCAGGACUCCGAGGCCAUGCUGGAGCCCUUUUGUAUCCAGGUCCUUUCCAAUGGAUAAUCUGCAGAAUGAGGAAUCCUUCCUGAUGAUGAAGACUCAACUCUUUCCAAGAGCCAGAUUUGCCUAUUCUGGAUAUUUCAUAUAAAUGGAAUCACAAAAUAGGUGACCAGCUGUGUUCAAGAUUCACCCAGGUUAUAGGAUGUCCUUCAUCCCUUCUUGUGGCCAAAUAAUAUUCCACUGCAUGGACAUAGAGCAUUUGCAUUCAUCGGUUGAUGACCACUACAACUCACUCAUCCAGGACUUUAGCUCCUGGCUCAUUGUCUCUCAUGCUGCCUCUCUCAUCGUUCUCAGUGAUUUCCAUACCCAGGUGGGUGACCCUCGGACCAUCCUUGGCCUCUUGGGUUCCUAGAU
This is a long non-coding RNA of Canis lupus familiaris (dog), 709 nucleotides long. RefSeq lists it as uncharacterized. The transcript has 3 exons. Lineage: Eukaryota; Metazoa; Chordata; Mammalia; Carnivora; Canidae. The record is from RefSeq and is a predicted model, not a curated record.